GAGUUACCUUUCAUGGAAGGGUAAGCAGGAAGCAACUACAAGAUCAUCAUUUCAAAACAAUAUGAAAGCAGAAUGGGAAAUGCCACGGCAUGCUCCCUCUUUUCAGGUCUCCCAGGGUUUGGAUUUUCCUUGACAGAGCAUAGGGGAAGUGCUGAGUCCUCAGGCCCAUACCCAGAUGAAGAAGCACAGGCAUGAUCAAAGCUACAACUAUUAUAUCCAUCCGGGAUUUUCUUUUGUGAAUGAAAAGAAGAAAAGACAUCAAUAAUGUGACCUUGGACUUACAGGCAAUAUGGACACUUUGGGGAAGUUAUGAAGCGUCUCCCAUUCCCGCUUGAGGUACUCAAUAGAGCCCACAAACACAAUGUGCUUGAGCUCAUGGUAAUGAAAGUUGCUGGCACGGAGCGGCAUCACCAGGUUCCGGAGGCCGAUCAGGGCUGAGCUGACAUCGCCAAAGAUGCAGACCACGACAUGGCCACUCAGGACGGUCAUGGCAGCUUCACUU
Molecule: non-coding RNA, 502 nt
Filed under: Pan troglodytes (chimpanzee)
Lineage: Eukaryota; Metazoa; Chordata; Mammalia; Primates; Hominidae
Source: RNAcentral